Molecule: ribosomal RNA, 460 nt
Filed under: uncultured soil bacterium
Lineage: Bacteria
Description: bacterial SSU rRNA
Rfam family: Bacterial small subunit ribosomal RNA
Source: RNAcentral
AGGACGAACGCUGGCGGCGUGCUUAACACAUGCAAGUCGAGCGAGGCCCCACCUUCGGGUGGGUGUCCUAGCGGCGAACGGGUGAGUAACACGUGGGCAACCUGCCCCUAGCACUGGGAUAACUCCGGGAAACCGGGGCUAAUACCGGAUACGACUUCGGAAGGCAUCUUCUGAAGUGGAAAGGGUUACUGGCUAGGGAUGGGCCCGCGGCCUAUCAGCUUGUUGGUGGGGUAACGGCCUACCAAGGCUCCGACGGGUAGCCGGCCUGAGAGGGCGACCGGGCCACGACUGGGACUGAGACACGGCCCAGACUCUACGGGAGGCAGCAGUGGGGAAUAUUGCACAUGGGCGAAAGCCUGAUGCAGCGACGCCGCGGUGAGGGAUGGACGGCCUUCGGUUGUAAACCUCUUUCAGCAGGGACGAAGCGAAGUGACGGUACUGCAGAGAGCACGACACUACG